GAUGAACGCUGGCGGCGUGCCUAAUACAUGCAAGUCGAGCGAACAGAUGAGGAGCUUGCUCCUCUGACGUUAGCGGCGGACGGGUGAGUAACACGUGGAUAACCUACCUAUAAGACUGGGAUAACUACGGGAAACCGGAGCUAAUACCGGAUAAUAUAUUGAACCGCAUGGUUCAAUAGUGAAAGACGGUUUUGCCGUCACUUAUAGAUGGAUCCGCGCCGCAUUAGUUAGUUGGUAAGGUAACGGCUUACCAAGGCAACGUUGCGUAGCCGACCUGAGAGGAUGAUCGGCCACACUGGAACUGAGACACGGUCCAGACUCCUACGGGAGGCAGCAGUAGGGAAUAUUCCGCAAUGGGCGAAAGCCUGACGGAGCAACACCGCGUGAGUGAUGAAGGUCUUCGGAUCGUAAAACUCUGUUAUUAGGGAAGAACAAAUGUGUAAGUAACUAUGCACGUCUUGACGGUACCUAAUCAGAAAGCCACGGCUAACUACGUG
RNAcentral lists this ribosomal RNA (497 nucleotides) under uncultured bacterium. Its description in RNAcentral is "partial 16S ribosomal RNA". It matches the Rfam family "Bacterial small subunit ribosomal RNA", at positions 28 to 507 of the family's 1533-position model. The record is from RNAcentral.